CGGUUAACUUUCGAUCAAAAAUCCGGAAAAUGACAGAUAUAUCACGUAUCAUGAUAACACUGUUAAAACUGUAAACUUGUGUUGUUUAUAAUAUAAAUUCAAGUUCUUCGUGUACACAUUUCAUUUUAUUACUUCAAAAAAAAUUUUGGUGUAGAAAUUUCAGGGGAGGCAGUUGCCUCCCCUGCCUCAUAGGUAGUUACGGCCCUG
This 207-nucleotide long non-coding RNA is filed under the name Mytilus galloprovincialis (Mediterranean mussel). Lineage: Eukaryota; Metazoa; Mollusca; Bivalvia; Mytilida; Mytilidae. The record is from RNAcentral.